This is a long non-coding RNA of Harmonia axyridis, 1149 nucleotides long. RefSeq lists it as uncharacterized. The transcript has 2 exons. The record is from RefSeq and is a predicted model, not a curated record. Lineage: Eukaryota; Metazoa; Arthropoda; Insecta; Coleoptera; Coccinellidae.
UGACUGGCAUUCUACGGAAAUCUUUCCAAAUGUAAACUAGCUUUUUUUAAUUCAUAUGCAAAGACUCUUUGCUAGCUUGAGAGGCAAAUUCUCGGCAGAACAGCACCCAAAUAAUCUACGGCAAUGUUACCACGCUCUGCUCUAGGGGUGGUGGGUGUAUAAGACAGGGACAACUGAGUUUCCAUACUGAUGAUUCCACCUGUAUCUCAGGAUGAAACACCGCAAUAAUCUAUUAUAUUUCUAUGAUACCGAUAAGGUAUAUCAAAACGAAAUUUUCCGCAAAAAUCAAAGAAUAUAUUAAAAACGCAAUGUGAAACACCUAACCACAUUAUCAUAUUCUACAGCACAGGCUCAUUCAAUUCAUAUAAUGUUAUUGUUUUCAUGCCACUGAAGUGGACAAGUAUCAACAUACUCGUAUAAAUUUGAAUGUUUAAGAAUUUUGCGUACCUAUGUCGCAAGUUAACAUUUUCAUUGAUUUGUAGACUUUGAGGUACCUGUUUCAAGAUAAUGCUAAUAGAAAGGUCAGUAGGGUAGCACAAUGGCUACUUGGAAGGUUAGGAAUAUUUCGAAAAAUUGCAAAAAGUUUCGGUGAAAUUCCUUUUAAAACUUCAAAGAAAAAGUUAUUGUAUUGGAAAUGUUAAAAAAACAUUCUGAUUUACAAUUCUUGAGAUGGAGUCUGAUACUAUCCAAAUAAGGGAGUAGCAGACAGCAUUGAUUAAAAAAUUAAAAACUGAGGAUUAACAAGUGUGUUGGUGACCUGCUUUGUGCACCUUCGAGGUUGUUGGCUGUUUUCGAAUGAAAGUCUGCUCGAAUUGUAAUGAGGCAGCAUAUUAGUUAGAUGUUCGUAUUAAUCUUAUGAAUGGUGGUAUGUUUUUGGUGGAGCCCUUCAUAUAGAAGUGACCUGUUGGAGUUCAAGUUUAAGUUGUUUUCUUAACCCAUUUACGAAAAAUAAUAGGAAUUUCCAAUAAUAUUGUUAUCUAUCUUCACCUUCCAAGUAUUGAUUAUGCUCAAUAACAAUUUAUCGUUUUCUAAGAGAAUUGUUAAAAAACCUUGUAUAAUGGAAUUAUUUAUCAACCAGAUGAAAAAGGUUCAUUAUCAACAAUAAAGAUAUUUAAUCAAACACUGGCCUAAAAUGUAGGUUUUCUAUUU